This 497-nucleotide ribosomal RNA is filed under the name uncultured bacterium. RNAcentral's name for it is "partial 16S ribosomal RNA". It matches the Rfam family "Bacterial small subunit ribosomal RNA", at positions 28 to 507 of the family's 1533-position model. The record is from RNAcentral.
GAUGAACGCUGGCGGCGUGCCUAAUACAUGCAAGUCGAGCGAACAGAUAAGGAGCUUGCUCCUUUGACGUUAGCGGCGGACGGGUGAGUAACACGUGGGUAACCUACCUAUAAGACUGGAAUAACUCCGGGAAACCGGGGCUAAUGCCGGAUAACAUGUUGAACCGCAUGGUUCUACAGUGAAAGGCGGCUUUGCUGUCACUUAUAGAUGGACCCGCGCCGUAUUAGCUAGUUGGUGAGGUAACGGCUCACCAAGGCAACGAUACGUAGCCGACCUGAGAGGGUGAUCGGACACACUGGAACUGAGACACGGUCCAGACUCCUACGGGAGGCAGCAGUAGGGAAUAUUCCGCAAUGGGCGAAAGCCUGACGGAGCAACGCCGCGUGAGUGAUGAAGGUCUUCAGAUCGUAAAACUCUGUUAUUAGGGAAGAACAAAUGCGUAAGUAACUGUGCGCGUCUUGACGGUACCUAAUCAGAAAGCCACGGCUAACUACGUG